Molecule: long non-coding RNA, 2501 nt
Organism: Acinonyx jubatus (cheetah)
Lineage: Eukaryota; Metazoa; Chordata; Mammalia; Carnivora; Felidae
Exons: 7
Source: RefSeq, a predicted model, not a curated record
AACCUAAGAGCCCACACAUUUGAAGUGAGAUCUAAAUUUGGUAGUAAUGCUUAAUGAAGGAAGAUUGGGUGAAUAUCAUCGGUGCUGUUUUCAUAUUGCAGUUUGACCUAAAGGAGAGCCCAGGAGCCCUUGAAAACCACUGCUCAGAGCAGGUUGAUUGAUUGGGAUGGUCUUAUUUUGGUACUUCAGACCUUGACCAGUCAGUUGAGAUCAGCACUAACUCAAUUCAUCGUGCAUCUUCAAAUCCCUGUCACAGAGUGUGCUUCAAGGAAAUUCAACCUACAACACUCAAUUACACAAGGGCAUCUUGGAGAUGAUCAGCUGCCUCAGGAUGAAGUUGAAAAUCUCCUUCCCAGUCACCAGCUGCCAGAAACUCAUUGAAGUGGAUGAUGAAUGCAAACUUCAUACCUUUAGUGAGAAAGGAUUGGCAUUUUAGUGGACUGGAUUAUCCACUCAUUUUCAAUUAAGUUUCCAUAUGGCAAAUUGAAGCUGACCCUAUUACAAUUAGAAAGCUAUGUGGAAGGAAGGAGGCCAUAAAUAAUAUUUCUAGUCCUUUAAAUUACUUGAUUGAGAUAACCUGGGAGAUCCAGACCAGAUGGUGACAGAGGAGGCUCCUGAAUUUUUUCUUCUCAUGGAUGCACUGAGUACAGCCACACGAAGCAAUUUCCUAUGAGAGAAAUCCAGAAAUGAGUUGAAUGACUCCUACACUCCUACCAGAUGACAAGCAAUAUCCACCUUAAAACAGCCAAACUGCCUCUUCACCUUACAUCAGGCUCAAGUUUUUACCCUCCAUGUAUUUUAGCCUUCAAGGAAUCUCUCCACCCAGUUUGUGAGAGAGUAAGACAGAGCUCUGGGAUUCCUCUGUUGGAUGUCACCUCUCCUACAUGGGACAAAGAUCACACUCUGCCUUGAAACUCAGUAAUCAAAAAGGUAGGCUCUGUUUGCUGGGUCCUUCAAAGCCUCUCGUGCUGUAAGGGAAUAGAGGGCUGUCUGCCUUACCUGGAUAUUGGUCCUAAAGGGAUGAUGUCUGGGAGCCAGGCAAAAUCUAUGGCUGUAGCUGUUGUAAUUUACAUAGUCCCAAAUCAAGGCAGGUGGAUUAUGUAUUCUCUUUGUUUUCACUCUGGAUUUAUAGGAAGGAAGUGUUAUUUUUCCCCUUGUCCAAAUAUCUUAAAUCAUUCAAAGGCAGCAUUAGACUUUAAGCAGAAAAAUGCAAAUGUAACUGGGACACUUACAAUGACCUAAAUGCAUGCUGAUUACCUUUUCUGUUAUUUUCUGCCCUUAAAUAAAGAAAAUAAAAUAAAUGUCAGCAGUAAGAAAAAUGAAAGUAGGUCAGACUACAGAACCAUUAGAUCAAAAGCAGUUAGAGCCAAACACACCUUUCCCAAGUGGGAAAGUGAGAAAUCAACAUGUAAAUGAAAAGCAUUUGAAGAGCUAUAGCAGUUCCUCUAUUAGCCUUGGCAAUUAGCAGGAGGGCAUUAAAUUAUUCUGGCGACUGCAUCUUGUAACUGGAACAAAGUGGAUGUGAUGGUACUGUUACUGAAAGAGAUGAAUCACUCCAAAACAGGACUUCCAUUGGGUGGGACUCAUAUUAUUUAGAAAAUGAGGAGAAGAAUGGACAAUGAAGGAUGUUCCUUGCUGAUAUCAUGGGAAGAACAUCUGAUUUUGCAUUAAGCAUGUGUGUGUGUGUGUGUAUGUGUGUGUGUGUGUGUGUGUGUGUGUGUGUGUGUGUGUAAAGAUCUGUGGGUUCUUUUUUUUUUAAGCCUAAUACUAAUACUACCUUGUGACAAUGCAUACGGUAUGACCACGGAUUCCUACUGAAGACAUGCUGAUGGUAUUCAUUCUUGUAAAUGAUUGUUACGCUAUUCCUUGUUGAAAAUUUGCUUUUAAUGUCUCAUUAUAUGGGGUCAAGUUGACAUACUCAUCCUUGCCCUACAAAGUUUAACAGAGUUGAUAUAGGUAUGAAGGAAAGAGAGGCAGCUAAAUAAAUAUGGAACAUGCCUGUUAAUGAAAAGUCACUCACAAAGAUGUUUAUGGAAUGAGAUAAGAUCUCGAGAGAAAGCCUCUGAAAGAAGGAAUGGGAGGACUUCUAUGAAUGUAAGUAAGCUCUAGGAAGGCUCUAAGAACCAUUGGAAGAUUUUGGAGAGUUAACAAUGAAUGAUAAUCCACUAUAUGUACUAACUCUUCCAAGAAUUUGAACCCAUUUCUAGUCCUGAUACAGAUAAUAUGUUUGUUCUAGUCCAUAUAAUAUGUUUGUUACCCCAAAUUGUCAAAAUUGCUGUGAAUGUAAUAUGAAUGUGAAUAAAAAUACCUUGAAUUUUUACCUGAAAAGCCAAAGGUAUUAAAUGAAGAAGACCCAAAAGAUUUUGAAUUUUAGAGAAAGGUGUAUCUCAAAUUUCAUUGUGCCUGAUCUGUGGGAGAAAUAAAGUCCUAUCUUUACUAGUAGUUGUUAGCCUUUGGAAUGUACCAUUUUCCACAUCAUUCAAGAAAAAUGGAGGAAACAU